GACGAACGCUGGCGGCGUGCUUAACACAUGCAAGUCGAACGGAAAGGCCCUGCUUUUGUGGGGUGCUCGAGUGGCGAACGGGUGAGUAACACGUGAGUAACCUGCCCUUGACUUUGGGAUAACUUCAGGAAACUGGGGCUAAUACCGGAUAGGAGCUCCUGCUGCAUGGUGGGGGUUGGAAAGUUUCGGCGGUUGGGGAUGGACUCGCGGCUUAUCAGCUUGUUGGUGGGGUAGUGGCUUACCAAGGCUUUGACGGGUAGCCGGCCUGGGAGGGUGACCGGGCACAAUGGGACUGAGAGACGGCGCAGUGUGCUACGGGAGGCAGUAGUGGGGAAUAUUGCACAGUGGGCGGAAGCCUGAUGCAGCAACGCCGCGUGCGGGAUGACGGCCUUCGGGUUGUAAACCGCUUCCGCCUGUGACGAAGCGUGAGUGACGGUAAUGGGUAAAGAAGCACCGGCUAACUACGUG
RNAcentral lists this ribosomal RNA (468 nucleotides) under uncultured bacterium. RNAcentral's name for it is "partial 16S ribosomal RNA". It matches the Rfam family "Bacterial small subunit ribosomal RNA", at positions 28 to 507 of the family's 1533-position model. The record is from RNAcentral.